GUGGAAAGAUAUGAAUUUCUGAUUACUUAAAUAUCAGCCUCUCCCAAGUAAGUUAAAUACUCACUAUUUAGAGGAUGACGGCGAUUUUUCUAACUUAUUUUUUUUUAACUCUAUAUUUUCUCUCAGUGUCUUCUCACCAAUUGCCAUUGACGCGACAAAGCUUUCAAAUCCAACCGUCCCAAAAAGUUAACAAAAAUUAAAAUAUUCCAUCCAAACACUCCCUUAAAAUACAGUCUCUUUACGCGUUAUCUUUUCUCCUUCUUCUCCUUCUUCUCCUUCUCCUUCUCCUUAAACCCUAGCUUUCUCUCUCCGCGUAGUUGACUCUCUCUGUAACAUCUAUGGAUGAUAAGGAUAAAGUUGACGAUCCAUUAAAAAGUGCAGCUGAGUUCGCCGCUACUGAGUCAAGCUGGUCACUCGGUGCAGAAUCGGACAAUGUUUACAGCUUCUUCGGCAAUACUGAUAGAGAUAGCAGUAUAUUAAACGAAUUCGGUUGGAAUUUUCCACCGUCGGAGGCGGCCGGAGAUAAGGAUGUUGUCGGUGGUAGUGGCGGUGCCGGUGGAUUUGAUCGAAUCGACGAUGACUUGGCGGGAAAUAGUAGUACUACACCAUCUGCUUCUGCUACUGAAGUACCGGCGACGGGGAAAAUCACCGAUGAACCUUUAUCUUCCAGCUGUUCGGAUGAUCCUCCGGAGAAAUCCACCGCAUCCGGUGGCUCUUCCGCCUCCCGACCGCCGUCCGAUACAGCAAGCAAGGUUAAAAAGAAGGGUCAGAAACGAAUCAGGCAGCCCCGCUUUGCAUUUAUGACGAAAAGCGAAGUUGAUCAUCUUGAAGAUGGCUACAGAUGGAGGAAGUAUGGUCAAAAAGCUGUUAAAAAUAGUCCAUUUCCAAGGAGCUAUUAUCGUUGUACAAACACCAAGUGCACAGUGAAGAAAAGAGUCGAGCGAUCUUCUGAAGAUCCGUCAAUUGUAAUUACCACAUAUGAAGGACAACAUUGUCACCAUACAGUUGGAUUUCCUAGAGGUGGACUUAUUAGUCAUGAAGCUGCAUUUACAACUCAUCAAUUAACACCCUUAGCCUCACAAUUCUACCUUCCCGCGGGUGUUCAAUACCCUCAAGAAGUACCUAUGAGCGCCCCAGAAUCGCGUCAAAUUCCAGGUGAAUCUGCAGAAGCUCGUCGAUUGCCAGAGACAAGUCAACCAGCCAACCAGCUGCCAACUGAUGAAGGAUUGCUUGGGGAUAUUGUACCUCCUGGAAUGCGAAGCAGAUAAUAUUAAGGGCUUUAAGAAUCAGCCCAGUGGAGGUGGCAAUGCGCUCCUCAGCAUGCCAAAGGCAAAUCUUGCGGAGUAUAUCAUGACUUAAUGGAGAACCCUUGGAUAGCAGCUCCAGAUAUUCAAGACUAGCUAUAAUGGUAGAUUUUCCCCUUUACUUCUUUCUCUUUUUUCUACUUUCUGGUGCUGGGGAUUGGGGUACAUAGAGGGAGCUAAGGGGGAGGUAUUACAUUUGACCUGAUUUGUGUUGUAAGUUGCAAUUCUGGUAGUAAUAGUUCUUUUGCCUAUUGUUGUGGGAUCUUUUUCUUAGAGUAGUUUCUACUUUCUAGUUAGUAAUUCCUCGUCCCAAUCUAUGUGGUAUACUAUUUGAUUGUAUACUAAGUUUUAAAAAGAUUUUUAAAA
This is an RNA transcript of Nicotiana tabacum (common tobacco), 1670 nucleotides long. It is a transcript of the gene named putative WRKY transcription factor 57, with no coding region annotated. Lineage: Eukaryota; Viridiplantae; Streptophyta; Magnoliopsida; Solanales; Solanaceae. The record is from RefSeq and is a predicted model, not a curated record.